This 399-nucleotide ribosomal RNA is filed under the name uncultured eukaryote. RNAcentral describes it as "SSU rRNA". It matches the Rfam family "Eukaryotic small subunit ribosomal RNA", at positions 587 to 972 of the family's 1831-position model. The record is from RNAcentral.
AGCUCCAAUAGCGUAUAUUAAAAUUGUUGCAGUUAAAAAGCUCGUAGUUGGAUUUCUGGUUUGGUGCGCGCGGUCCGCCUCCCUUCGUGGGUCAGGUGUGUACCGUUGUGCGCCUGCCAUCUUCGCGGACGGGCGUGCGGGUCCUUCACUGGGCUCGUGCGAUUCCCCGCUCUGCGUCUUUUACUUUGAAAAAAUUAGAGUGUUCAAAGCAGGCUUGCGCUAUGAAUACAUUAGCAUGGAAUAAUAAUCUAGGACUUCUGUUCUAUUUUGUUGGUUUCUAGGGUGGAAGUAAUGAUUGAUAGGGAUAGUUGGGGGUGCUAGUAUUCAGCGGCCAGAGGUGAAAUUCUUGGAUUCGCUGAAGACUAACUUAUGCGAAAGCAUUCACCAAGGAUGUCUUCU